Molecule: long non-coding RNA, 225 nt
Filed under: Daucus carota (carrot)
Lineage: Eukaryota; Viridiplantae; Streptophyta; Magnoliopsida; Apiales; Apiaceae
Description: long non-coding RNA (DCAR_LNC007674)
Source: RNAcentral
CGUAGUUCCGUGGAAUUGAGAUCUAAGAAAAGAAGGCCAAAUCGGAAAAGGUUUUGAAUCCUUAGAUCCGGAAAAACAAAUGCCAAAAAAGUUUUAUUGGAAGAAAAAAGCAAACACAAAAGAAGAGAAAUAAAAAAUUUUGGGGCUUUCCACCGGUAGAGAUCCGGUGGAAACCCCCGCUGCUAUUAAGCAAAGAAAGGGACAGAGGAGGGGAAAUUAGGGUUU